ACGGAAGGCAGCAGUGGGGAAUAUUGCACAAUGGGGGAAACCCUGAUGCAGCGACGCCGCGUGAGUGAAGAAGUAUUUCGGUAUGUAAAGCUCUAUCAGCAGGGACGAAAAUGACGGUACCUGACUAAGAAGCCCCGGCUAACUACGUGCCAGCAGCCGCGGUAAUACGUAGGGGGCAAGCGUUAUCCGGAUUUACUGGGUGUAAAGGGAGCGUAGACGGUCUGGCAAGUCUGAUGUGAAAACCCAGGGCUCAACCUUGGGAUUGCAUUGGAAACUGUCAGACUAGAGUGCAGGAGAGGUAAGUGGAAUUCCUAGUGUAGCGGUGAAAUGCGUAGAUAUUAGGAGGAACACCAGUGGCGAAGGCGGCUUACUGGACUGUAACUGACGUUGAGGCUCGAAAGCGUGGGGAGCAAACAGGAUUAGAUACCCUGGUA
RNAcentral lists this ribosomal RNA (434 nucleotides) under uncultured Lachnospiraceae bacterium. RNAcentral's name for it is "bacterial SSU rRNA". It matches the Rfam family "Bacterial small subunit ribosomal RNA", at positions 341 to 792 of the family's 1533-position model. The record is from RNAcentral. Lineage: Bacteria; Bacillati; Bacillota; Clostridia; Lachnospirales; Lachnospiraceae.